AUUUUAAUAAUUUAAUCAAAAUAUUGGUCUUGUAAACCAAAAAUAAGUAAUCUUUUAAAAUU
This 62-nucleotide transfer RNA is filed under the name Brasilocerus sp. 2 DTA-2012. RNAcentral's name for it is "tRNA-Thr". The record is from RNAcentral. Lineage: Eukaryota; Metazoa; Arthropoda; Insecta; Coleoptera; Phengodidae.